CGGAGGGUCAUUACUGAGUUAUCCAAAAACUCCCAACCCUAUGUGAACUUACCACUGUUGCCUCGGCGAGCUGCGCUACCCUGUAGCUACUUUUGUAGCGACCUGGGAGCGCGUUAUAGGCUCGCCAGAGGACCACUAAACUCUGUUUUAUUUUGUAUCUCUGAAUCUUAUAACUGAAAUCAGUUAAAACUUUCAACAACGGAUCUCUUGGUUCUGGCAUCGAUGAAGAACGCAGCGAAAUGCGAUAAGUAAUGUGAAUUGCAGAAUUCAGUGAAUCAUCGAAUCUUUGAACGCACAUUGCGCCCAUUAGUAUUCUAGUGGGCAUGCCUAUUCGAGCGUCAUUUCAACCCUUAAGCCUCAGUAGCUUAGCGUUGGGAAUCUACAGGUUACAGCGUAGUUCCUUAAAGGUAGUGGCGGAGUUAGAGCACACUCUAAGCGUAGUACUUGUUUCUCGCUUCUGGUAGUGGCUUUGGCGGCCGGCCGUGAAACCCCCUAUAUUUCUAAUGGUUGACCUCGGAUUAGGUAGGAAUACCCGCUGAACUUAAGCAUAUCAAUAAGCGGAGGAAAAGAAACCAACAGGGAUUGCCCUAGUAACGGCGAGUGAAGCGGCAACAGCUCAAAUUUGAAAUCUGGCCUUCGGGUCCGAGUUGUAAUUUGUAGAGGAUGCUUUGGGUGCGGUGCCUUCCGAGUUCCCUGGAACGGGACGCCUUAGAGGGUGAGAGCCCCGUACGGUUGGA
RNAcentral lists this ribosomal RNA (737 nucleotides) under fungal endophyte. RNAcentral describes it as "eukaryotic LSU rRNA". The stretch from base 509 to 737 matches the Rfam family "Eukaryotic large subunit ribosomal RNA", at positions 1 to 233 of the family's 3401-position model. The record is from RNAcentral. Lineage: Eukaryota; Fungi.